RNAcentral lists this long non-coding RNA (290 nucleotides) under Homo sapiens (human). Its description in RNAcentral is "non-protein coding lnc-ZNF385D-3:8". Lineage: Eukaryota; Metazoa; Chordata; Mammalia; Primates; Hominidae. The record is from RNAcentral.
AGAUGGACCCGAUUCAGAAAGCUGUAAUAAACCAUACAUUCGGGGUUCCUCUUCCCCACCGAAGAAAGCAAAUCAUAUCAUGCAACAUUUGCCAGUUGAGAUUUAAUUCUGAUGUCUGUGUGGCAUGUCGUAAAAGGAACAUGGCCAAGGUAUUUGGAGAUAUGGACUAAUCACUUUGGGUCAUAAUUAAACAAUUGCAGGCUUGACCAUUUACCAGAUGAUUAUUGUAUUAGUCUUCUAUUGCUGCUAAAAUAAAUCACCACAAACUCAGUGGCCUGAAACAACACAAA